AACGAACGCUGGCGGCAUGCCUAACACAUGCAAGUCGAACGAGACCUUCGGGUCUAGUGGCGCACGGGUGCGUAACGCGUGGGAAUCUGCCCCUUGGUUCGGAAUAACAGCGAGAAAUUGCUGCUAAUACCGGAUAAUGACGUAAGUCCAAAGAUUUAUCGCCAAGGGAUGAGCCCGCGUAGGAUUAGCUAGUUGGUGUGGUAAAGGCGCACCAAGGCGACGAUCCUUAGCUGGUCUGAGAGGAUGAUCAGCCACACUGGGACUGAGACACGGCCCAGACUCCUACGGGAGGCAGCAGUGGGGAAUAUUGGACAAUGGGCGAAAGCCUGAUCCAGCAAUGCCGCGUGAGUGAUGAAGGCCUUAGGGUUGUAAAGCUCUUUACCCGGGUAAGAUAAUGACUGUACCGGGAGAAU
RNAcentral lists this ribosomal RNA (413 nucleotides) under uncultured bacterium. Its description in RNAcentral is "bacterial SSU rRNA". It matches the Rfam family "Bacterial small subunit ribosomal RNA", at positions 29 to 487 of the family's 1533-position model. The record is from RNAcentral.